RNAcentral lists this microRNA precursor (58 nucleotides) under Callorhinchus milii (elephant shark). Its description in RNAcentral is "Cmi-Mir-193-P1b_pre stem-loop". Lineage: Eukaryota; Metazoa; Chordata; Chondrichthyes; Chimaeriformes; Callorhinchidae. The record is from RNAcentral.
UGGGUCUUUGUGAGCAAGAUGUCACAAAGUUGCACCAACUGGCCUGCAAAGUCCCAGU